RNAcentral lists this ribosomal RNA (373 nucleotides) under uncultured bacterium. RNAcentral's name for it is "bacterial SSU rRNA". It matches the Rfam family "Bacterial small subunit ribosomal RNA", at positions 359 to 759 of the family's 1533-position model. The record is from RNAcentral.
CAUUGUGUGGGCGCAGCCUGACCGCCUGCCGCGUGAGUGACGAAGGCCUUAGGGUUGUAAAGCUCUUUUGGUGGGGAAGAUAAUGACGGUACCCGCAGAAUAAGCUCCGGCUAACUUCGUGCCAGCAGCCGCGGUAAUACGAAGGGAGCUAGCGUUGUUCGGAAUCACUGGGCGUAAAGCGCACGUAGGCGGAUGUGUCAGUCAGGGGUGAAAUCCCGGAGCUCAACUUCGGAACUGCCCUUGAUACAGCACGUCUCGAGUCCGAGAGAGGUGAGUGGAAUUCCUAGUGUAGAGGUGAAAUUCGUAGAUAUUAGGAAGAACACCAGUGGCGAAGGCGGCUCACUGGCUCGGUACUGACGCUGAGGUGCGAAAG